CAAUAGCGUAUAUUUAAGUUGUUGCAGUUAAAAAGCUCGUAGUCGGAUUUUGGCUGAGAACGAACGGUCCGCCGUUAGGUGUGCACUGGUUGGUCUCAGCUUCCUGGUGAGGAGGUGUGCUUCACGGCCACUUAGUCACCGUGGUUACUUUGAAAAAAUUAGAGUGUUCAAAGCGGGCUUACGCUUGAAUAUAUUAGCAUGGAAUAACACCAUAGGACUCCUGUCCUAUUUCGUUGGUCUCGGGACGGGAGUAAUGAUUAAGAGGAACAGUUGGGGGCAUUCGUAUUUCAUUGUCAGAGGUGAAAUUCUUGGAUUUAUGAAAGACGAACUUCUGCGAAAGCAUUUGCCAAGGAUGUUUUCAUUGA
This 365-nucleotide ribosomal RNA is filed under the name uncultured eukaryote. RNAcentral describes it as "partial 18S ribosomal RNA". It matches the Rfam family "Eukaryotic small subunit ribosomal RNA", at positions 592 to 976 of the family's 1831-position model. The record is from RNAcentral.